GCGUCGGUAGCUCAGUUGGUUAGAGCACCACCUUGACAUGGUGGGGGUCGGUGGUUCGAGUCCACUCGGACGCACCA
This 77-nucleotide transfer RNA is filed under the name Serratia marcescens. RNAcentral describes it as "tRNA-Val(gac)". It matches the Rfam family "tRNA". From Rfam's summary of the family: Transfer RNA (tRNA) molecules are approximately 80 nucleotides in length. Their secondary structure includes four short double-helical elements and three loops (D, anti-codon, and T loops). Further hydrogen bonds mediate the characteristic L-shaped molecular structure. tRNAs have two regions of fundamental functional importance: the anti-codon, which is responsible for specific mRNA codon recognition, and the 3' end, to which the tRNAs corresponding amino acid is attached (by aminoacyl-tRNA synthetases). tRNAs cope with the degeneracy of the genetic code in two manners: having more than one tRNA (with a specific anti-codon) for a particular amino acid; and 'wobble' base-pairing, i.e. permitting non-standard base-pairing at the 3rd anti-codon position. Lineage: Bacteria; Pseudomonadati; Pseudomonadota; Gammaproteobacteria; Enterobacterales; Yersiniaceae. The record is from RNAcentral.